AGUGAACGCUGGCGGUAGGCCUAACACAUGCAAGUCGAACGGCAGCACAGUAAGAGCUUGCUCUUACGGGUGGCGAGUGGCGGACGGGUGAGGAAUACAUCGGAAUCUACUUUUUCGUGGGGGAUAACGUAGGGAAACUUACGCUAAUACCGCAUACGACCUACGGGUGAAAGCAUGGGAUCUUCGGACCUUGCGCGAUUGAAUGAGCCGAUGUCGGAUUAGCUAGUUGGCGGGGUAAAGGCCCACCAAGGCGACGAUCCGUAGCUGGUCUGAGAGGAUGAUCGGCCACACUGGAACUGGGACACGGUCCAGACGACUACGGGAGGCAGCAGUGGGGAAUAUUGGGCAAUGGGCGCAAGCCUGAUCCAGCCAGACCGCGUGGGUGAAGAAGGCGUUCGGGUUGGAAAGCCCUUUUGUUGGGAAAGAAAAGCAGCAGGUUAAUACCCCGCUGUUCUGACGGUACCCAAAGAAUAAGCACCGGCUAACUUCGUG
Molecule: ribosomal RNA, 492 nt
Filed under: uncultured bacterium
Lineage: Bacteria
Description: partial 16S ribosomal RNA
Rfam family: Bacterial small subunit ribosomal RNA
Source: RNAcentral